Long non-coding RNA from Canis lupus familiaris (dog), 595 nucleotides. RefSeq lists it as uncharacterized. The record is from RefSeq and is a predicted model, not a curated record. The transcript has 4 exons. Lineage: Eukaryota; Metazoa; Chordata; Mammalia; Carnivora; Canidae.
UGAACUGCUGCCGCAUCAAAGCCCCACUGAGGGGUUGCCUUAAAUGAGAGAGAUGAAAUUGUUCCAGAACUUUGGGCAAUACACCUGCUCACUAACUUGUGUGGAGGGAUAUGAGGAUACGAGGCCUCAGCUAAGACUCUAAGGAGUCCUUGGCAGUGGCAAAACGUCUGGUUGGUUGGCCAAGGCCCUUGGAGGGAGGAAGAUGAGAAGAACAAAGACAGAGAAGUGUGAAUGAUGUUGGAAGCAGCUUCUUCCUCAGAACCUCUCAGAAAAAAGCCCAGCCUUGAUUUCAGCCUUCUGAGACUGCCUACAGAAAAGUCUACCUGGACUUCUGAUGUUCAGAACUGUGAGAGUCACCUCUAAGCACUGAUGCUGUCAGCCUCUACUUUAUAAAGAUGUACUUCUCUGACGUUUGGCUUUAAGGGAGAAUAACAGAGUAAUCAAUGGAAGAGUCGAAGGUUGAGCUCAAAAUAUGGAGGAAACAGUGAAGAAGAAAUGGAACUGAUGUUACAUGUUAUCUCAUCAGACUUCACAACAAUCCUGGGAGCUCAGCAAGGAAUGAUUACCCCACCCUGAAAUAAAAGGAUGCUGGGUC